GUGCCUUUCGAGUGAAUGUUAGAGUAGCCCGUCCAUGACUGUGUUUGUAAGUGACAGAGACGGGGGCUGCGUUUCAGACAUACCCUCCUCCACUUACCCUCGCCUUAUGCCCGUGGGGGAAUCCUCGCAACCAUCUUUGUCGUUGGUCCAAAUGAUUAGCCAAGCAAGGGAACGUGUGGCAACGUGAGACCCUCAGCCCUCGUUUUUUGAUUGAGUUUGCGAGUGUACAGUUAUGUUCACUCCGGUCAGCUAAAACUUUAAACCAACAUUAAUAUGGGGAAGUCAACAUACAAGUCUUUUGUAAAACUCAGGUUAUCUGGAGUCGUUCGACAGUGCCCUGCUGAGAAAUACCCUGAAGCGGGGGCAUUUUGGGUACACAAGCACGAGGGAGCGGACACACCUUGCGUUUAUGGAGCACAACAAGAUGUGGGACAGAAACCAUCCAGGGAUACUGAACGGAGACGUGCAGUAUCAGCAAAUCUUCUGCAAGAGGACCAAACAGUUGGUGGUUAAGAAGCCCUACAUCACUUUUGACAGCCUUAUCCAGCUGGCCAUUCACCGCACACAGGACAAGCCCAUCGCCAUAAGCACAACGAGUCUCAGCUUCCCCAGCCCAUCAUUGCCAGUGUAACGAAGCCGGAUAAAGGACUACGGCUGCGUUUACGCAGGCAGCCCAAUUCAGACCUGAUUGGUCUUUUGACCAAUCAGAUCAGUUCUGAAAAAGAGCUGAUGUGAUUAAGACCAAUUAGUGGAAAAAAGAUCAGAAUUGGGUUGUCUGUGUAAAACACAGCUAAUUAUUAGAAUCGGGAUGUGCUACAUUAUGGUUGGAGGGAAAAGCUACAGGACAGUAGCUCUCCAGGAACAGGGUUAGAGAGCCCUUAUGUAGAACCAGCAUAAAAUAAAUGUGGAUCUUUUCUGUCAAUCUUCUAAAUGUUUCUGCCCUCAUGGAUUCACAAUAUGUAUUUAUCGAAGCUGUACAUGGCUCUGUAGCAUAAAAAAAUGCUAGACAUUCAGAUAUCAAAUCAUGUUUAUUUGUCAACAUUAAAAUACAGGAGAAUGUACACUAACUCAAGAGAACUGGGUAUUCAACAACGUUAUGGUAAAAGUAACAUUCAAAUAUAUAUAGUAUGAACAGCAUAGUACAGUUCAGUGUGUCUCAGGUGUAGGGACACAAGUGCUGAGAACUGUAGUUACACCAGAUAAUGUGAGUUCCCCAAUAUUUUAGCAGACAUCUUGGCUAUUUCAAGUCUUCUCCCAUUGAUUGAGGCAGGUGGGUGUCCACUCCAAAGUGCUGAGAGGUCUCUGUCAUCAUGACAGUCUCUAUAAAUGAGUGAGAAGACUUGAAAGACACGGAUGGUGGCACACCAUCUUUUUGGAGCAAAAAAAAGCAUUUAUUUUAAUAACGGGAGCAUUUGACAUUUUAUGACUCCUGUUUCGAGGACAUCGCUAAGGUUGGUUGGAAAUACAUAUCCUGUAACUCCCAGUAAAGAAUACCAAAAAUCUUUAGUUAAAUCACAUUAUCUGGUGUUACAAUGUGUAUAUAAAAGAACUGGUGAUCAGCAGAUGGGAGGAGGUGGUCAUGAUAAAAUUGCAAUUCCAAAAGAAACCUACAGUAAGUUCAGGGAAUAAUUGUAAAGCUGUGGGAGGAGUGUUGUCAUGAUCAAACUGUCAUUCAGCUCCUCAUCUGCUUGAAAUCCAUCAUAAUGUCUAAUCCCUUGAGGGGGAUACAGUUCACGAGAUACAGUUCUGCUACAAUGACACAUGCAGACAACAGAAUGAUGUUUCUGUAUCGAGAAUCCACUCCAGGAAGAAGCCCAGGCAUUAAAUGUUAUUGUCUGCAAGACAACAAAAAAACAUAUACUCAAUUGUACAGUUUGAACAACAGUUGAACCGUGCCAGCAUAACAUCAACAUUAGGGUACACUAGUUGUACAUGUAUACAUGUGCACAGGUACAGAUAUUACAUUUCAACCAUAUCUAGCCAAAUGGAAAGAAAUAUGGCAUAACCCUCAACCUUUGCACAGCGACGAGACCGUACAAAUGAGCCUAGGUAGGUAGGCAGAAAUCUAUUUUUAGAGAUUUACAACAAUACAUUGUUGUAUUAUUGUUUCUCCUCACUGUUCGGGAGUAAACUUACAUUGCAUUUGGAAAGUAUUCCGACUCCUUGACUUUUUCCCACUUUAAGUUACAGCCUUAUUCUAAAUUAUUUUUAUUUAAAAAAAAAUCCCUAAUCAAUUCACACACAAUAACAAAUCAAAAACUGAUUUAUAGAAAUGUUUGCAAAUUCAUAAACAUAAACAGGAAUAUCACAUUUACAUAAGUAUUCAGACCCUUUACUCAGCUCUUGUUCUUUAUUAAACAUUUUUAUUAACUUAUCCACCACCUCUCCUGUUCAGAGGAAACCUUUUUUCUUUUUACAGCUUCUCGGCUACAUAUGCAUACACAUUUUAAAUGCAUGGUACUUUUACAUACAGCAAACGCAUAACAAUAAAACAUUAAACUUUAAUCCCACCUCUCAGCCCAUCCCACCUAUCACCAUAGACCUCAGCUCUUUAAUCCCACCCCUCAGCCACUCUCAGCCCUUCCCACCUAUCACCAUAGACCACCCUCAUUCGGUUUCCAUGUGACAUAUAUUUUUCAGUUGUGCUGUGAUGCUUUACAUAGAUUUUGAACAUUUUCUAAUCAUAAUAGUAUCCACAGAUUGUGAGCUAAAGAUGAAAACCUUUCCUAAGACUAUUAUAUUAUUUAUUGACUGACUAUGGUUUUCCAAAUCACCCAACACUGCUGUAAGGUUAAUUUGAAGUGAAUGUUGUAAUUUUUUAACCAUUCCUGAACCUGUGACCAGAAACAAGCUACAUAGGGGCAAUACCAGAAUAAAUGAUCUAGUGAUUAUGUCUCUUCAAAGCUAAAUCUACAGAGCUGAGAUUGUUGUACGCCCCAUAUAGAUAGCAUUCUGAUGGUGGCAUGAAUUUUGUAUAAUAAUUUAAAUAGAAUAAAACUCAGUGUUGAAUCAAGUGUCGUUUUUUGUACCAGUUCAUAAACCAUGUGCCAUGGAAUCGGUACAUCGAAAAUCUCUUUUAAUUUAUUUUGCAACCUGUAUGGUGCACCAGUCAACAUUUUUGUCCUCAGACAAAACUGGUAUAUUUUUCUACUUAUGCCAAUUCCUUUCAACCAAUUUGCAUCUUUAAUAUAUGGCAGACAAACAAAUUCCUUACCUUCUUCCCUUUUCCACUUACCUCCUCCAUUUUUGUGAUUUGUUUGGAUUGAGCAGACGUUCCCAUAUAUUUUCGAUAGCUGUAUAUGUGACAUAACUCCACCGUUUCUAAUCAUAA
This 3331-nucleotide long non-coding RNA is filed under the name Oncorhynchus kisutch (coho salmon). Its description in RNAcentral is "lncRNA (ENSOKIG00005022244.1)". Lineage: Eukaryota; Metazoa; Chordata; Actinopteri; Salmoniformes; Salmonidae. The record is from RNAcentral.